UCCUCCUAAAGAGUAACGGAGGAGCACGAAGGUUGGCUAAUCCUGGUCGGACAUCAGGAGGUUAGUGCAAUGGCAUAAGCCAGCUUGACUGCGAGCGUGACGGCGCGAGCAGGUGCGAAAGCAGGUCAUAGUGAUCCGGUGGUUCUGAAUGGAAGGGCCAUCGCUCAACGGAUAAAAGGUACUCCGGGGAUAACAGGCUGAUACCGCCCAAGAGUUCAUAUCGACGGCGGUGUUUGGCACCUCGAUGUCGGCUCAUCACAUCCUGGGGCUGAAGUAGGUCCCAAGGGUAUGGCUGUUCGCCAUUUAAAGUGGUACGCGAGCUGGGUUUAGAACGUCGUGAGACAGUUCGGUCCCUAUCUGCCGUGGGCGCUGGAGAACUGAGGGGGGCUGCUCCUAGUACGAGAGGACCGGAGUGGACGCAUCACUGGUGUUCGGGUUGUCAUGCCAAUGGCACUGCCCGGUAGCUAAAUGCGGAAGAGAUAAGUGCUGAAAGCAUCUAAGCACGAAACUUGCC
RNAcentral lists this ribosomal RNA (514 nucleotides) under Escherichia coli. Its description in RNAcentral is "partial 23S ribosomal RNA". It matches the Rfam family "Bacterial large subunit ribosomal RNA", at positions 2285 to 2798 of the family's 2925-position model. Lineage: Bacteria; Pseudomonadati; Pseudomonadota; Gammaproteobacteria; Enterobacterales; Enterobacteriaceae. The record is from RNAcentral.